CAACGAAAGCUCCUCAUAAGAUGUCAAUUCCUGACAGUGAUAUGAACCUCAUCAAGUCGCCACAAGAAACUUCCCUUGAUUGUUGUGGCUGACCAAGUUAUUCCAGAGUUUGCUUCGCACUAUCCAUCCAUAUUCAAGUUCCACCAAGGUAUGUUUGCUUUGCACUAUCCAUCCAUAUUCAAGUUCCACCAAGGUAAGUGCUCCUACAGCAUCUUACUUCAAAUCAAAUAAACAAUGACUUGUGCAGCAAAUUCAGAUUGAUAUCUUCCUUUAUCACGGUGAUUCUCAAAUUCCUCAGAUAUUCCUUAAAGAACUCCCAUAAAGAGGCUGUUUCUUCAUCACAUACAACAUCUUCCAACUUUACUAGUUUUAGCACAGAAUUGGGCAGCUCAGAAAACCCCAGGCGGCUCCCCAUGCAGACGGUCUGUAAAGAACUGAGUUGAUCCAUUUCCAUUGGCAAGUAAUCCA
RNAcentral lists this long non-coding RNA (468 nucleotides) under Capsicum annuum. RNAcentral's name for it is "long non-coding RNA (CANN_LNC003754)". Lineage: Eukaryota; Viridiplantae; Streptophyta; Magnoliopsida; Solanales; Solanaceae. The record is from RNAcentral.